CCCUUAGAUGUUCUGGGCUGCACGCGCGCUACACUGAAGCUAUCAACACGUUUUCCCUCCCUGAGAAGGGCGGGUAACCUUUUGAAUCAGCUUCGUGGUAGGGAUCGGGGCUUGCAAUUGUUCCCCGUGAACCGGGAAUUCCUAGUAGACGCGAGUCAUAAGCUCGCAUCGAUUAAGUCCCUGCCCUUUGUACACACCGCCCGUCGCUACUACCGAUUGAACGUUUUAGUGAGGCAUUUGGACCGACGCAUCUCAGUUUAACCGCUGGUUUGUGUUGGAAAGACUUCCAAACUUGAGCGUUUAGAGGAAGUAAAAGUCGUAACA
Molecule: ribosomal RNA, 324 nt
Filed under: uncultured eukaryote
Lineage: Eukaryota
Description: partial 18S ribosomal RNA
Rfam family: Eukaryotic small subunit ribosomal RNA
Source: RNAcentral